Pantherophis guttatus is the source of this 961-nucleotide non-coding RNA. Lineage: Eukaryota; Metazoa; Chordata; Lepidosauria; Squamata; Colubridae. The record is from RefSeq and is a predicted model, not a curated record.
GUUCGAUGGGCUGCUCCAGAAAUACCGCCCCCCCAGCCCUCCAAUUGGCGGAAAACGCGCGGAUCCAAAACGCGCAUUGGUCUUUCCAAGUGCCAGCCGGAACUCCGGAGAAGACGGAAAAGAAAGUUGCUUGGGGCCGAGCGAAGCUGCGUUGGUGCAAAGCUAUAGCGGCCGGUGAGGGACGUUGGUGUGACGUCAUGGGCAGAGGAACGCGGAGGAGAAAGGUCUUCUUUGCCCCAUCAUGCGCCGCGCCAAUGAUUGGCUUUUGCGGAAGGAUUGCAUCUUGGGUGGUGUAGUUUUUAUUACUCUGCGCAGGUUUAGGGCGUUUAGUUAUCCUUAUGAGCCAUUGAACCCUUUGCAGCGUAAUAUUUAUUACUUCUGAAAGGUGGAAGAAGGAACCGUGGGAUCUGUAGUCCUACGCCCACUUCUUACAACAAGAAGAAAUUGAUUGAAUAAAGGUGAUUUUGGGAAAAGAGAAAAAGAAGUGUUCUGUAAGAAGCAAUUGAACUGAUAUCCAAUCAUAUACAUCAUCAUUAUAUACGGAGAAGUAAAGAAUCCUAACAGAGAAGGCAAACACCACACAAAAUGUAGAGGAGUUCAGAGCUAACAUUGAAGAAACAAUGCAAGAGCAGUUUGGUAAACAUCUACUUAGCCCUGGGAAGAAAGGGGGAUGAGAAAGUAACUCAAGAUAACCUCACUUUGAUAUUCUUUCAUAUACAUAAGAGGGGGCAGAAAGGAGCUCUGUCAGACUUCCAAGAUUAUGUUCAUAUUCCCUACAGCUAUAAAGUCUUUAUGGUGUCUAUUUCCUGACCUGUCUACCUUGAAGGACUUAGAAGAGAUGCUAGCCAAUAAUUAGGCAGAAGUGGAGGUGACCUCAUUUUUAGAUAGUCCAGCACCUGUGGUAUCAUCUAGAUCAGGGGUGUCAAACUGGAUUUCUUCGAGGGCCAGAUCAGCAUUGUAG